Molecule: ribosomal RNA, 511 nt
Filed under: uncultured bacterium
Lineage: Bacteria
Description: partial 16S ribosomal RNA
Rfam family: Bacterial small subunit ribosomal RNA
Source: RNAcentral
GACAAACGCUGGCGGCAUGCCUAACACAUGCAGGUCGAACGGACAGAACAGGGAAGCUUUUCGGAGUGGAACUGGAAAGUUAGUGGCGGAUGGGUGAGUAACGCGUGGACAACCUACCUUGUAAAGGGGAAUAACCUCGAGAAAUCGAAGCUAAUACCCCAUAAUAACCUUGCUUCGCAUGAAGUAAGGAGGAAAGGCGGCCUUAGCGCUGUCGAUACAAGAUGGGUCCGCGUCUGAUUAGCUAGUUGGUGAGGUAAAGGCUCACCAAGGCGACGAUCAGUAGCCGGCCUGAGAGGGUGAACGGCCACAUUGGGACUGAGACACGGCCCAAACUCCUACGGGAGGCAGCAGUGGGGAAUCUUCCGCAAUGGGCGAAAGCCUGACGGAGCAAUGCCGCGUGAGUGAAGAAGGCCUUCGGGUUGUAAAACUCUGUCCUUAUCGAAGAGAGAGUGUUGUAGUAACUGACAAUACUAGGACGGUAGAUGAGGAGGAAGCCCCGGCUAACUAUGUG